UGGGGAAUAUUGCGCAAUGGGGGAAACCCUGACGCAGCGACGCCGUGUGAGGGAAGAAGGCUUUCGGGUCGUAAACCUCUGUCAGGAAGGAAGAACCUCUCAAGGCUGAACAAGCCUUGGGACUGACGGUACUUCCAGAGGAAGCACCGGCUAACUCCGUGCCAGCAGCCGCGGUAAUACGGAGGGUGCAAGCGUUAUCCGGAUUUACUGGGUUUAAAGGGUGCGUAGGCGGGCAUGUAAGUCAGUGGUGAAAUACCGGAGCUUAACUUCGGAACUGCCAUUGAUACUAUAUGUCUUGAAUAUUGUGGAGGUAAGCGGAAUAUGUCAUGUAGCGGUGAAAUGCAUAGAUAUGACAUAGAACACCGAUUGCGGAGGCAGCUUGCUACGCAAAUAUUGACGCUGAGGCACGAAAGCGUGGGGAUCAAACA
This 428-nucleotide ribosomal RNA is filed under the name uncultured bacterium. RNAcentral's name for it is "bacterial SSU rRNA". It matches the Rfam family "Bacterial small subunit ribosomal RNA", at positions 355 to 774 of the family's 1533-position model. The record is from RNAcentral.